GGGGGGGGCGGGGGGCGGGGGGGGUGCGUGCAAGUCGAGCGAACGGGUGAGGCGCUUGCUCCUCUGACGUUAGCGGCGGACGGGGGAGUAACACGUGGAUAACCUACCUAUAAGACUGGGAUCACUUCGGGAAACCGGAGCUCAUACCGGAUAAUAUCUUGACCCGCAUGGUUCAAUAGUGAAAGACGGUUUUGCUGUCACUUAUAGAUGUAUCCGCGCCGCAUUAGCUAGUUGGUAAGGUAACGGCUUACCAAGGCAACGAUGCGUAGCCGACCUGAGAGGGUGAUCGGCCAAAAUGGAACUGAGACACGGUCCAGACUCCUACGGGAGGCAGCAGUAGGGAAUCUUCCGCAAUGGGCGAAAGCCUGACGGAGCAACGCCGCGUGAGUGAUGAAGGUCUUCGGAUCGUAAAACUCUGUUAUUAGGGAAGAACAAAUGUGUAAGUAACUAUGCACGCCUUGACGGUACCUAAUCAGAAAGCCACGGCUAACUACGUG
Molecule: ribosomal RNA, 497 nt
Filed under: uncultured bacterium
Lineage: Bacteria
Description: partial 16S ribosomal RNA
Rfam family: Bacterial small subunit ribosomal RNA
Source: RNAcentral